GCUUACGGCAAUACCAGCCAAGAACGCCCGGUCUUCGUCUGAUCUCGGAAACUAAGAAGGCUUGGGCCUGGUUAGUACUUGGAUGGGAGACCUCCUGGGAAUACCAGGUGCUGUAAGCU
Molecule: ribosomal RNA, 119 nt
Organism: Denticeps clupeoides (denticle herring)
Lineage: Eukaryota; Metazoa; Chordata; Actinopteri; Clupeiformes; Denticipitidae
Source: Ensembl